UGGCGAACGGGUGAGUAACGCGUGAGGAACCUGCCUCAAAGAGGGGGACAACAGUUGGAAACGACUGCUAAUACCGCAUAAGCCCACGGGUCGGCAUCGACCUGAGGGAAAAGGAGCAAUCCGCUUUGGGAUGGCCUCGCGUCCGAUUAGCUAGUUGGUGAGGUAAUGGCCCACCAAGGCGACGAUCGGUAGCCGGACUGAGAGGUUGAACGGCCACAUUGGGACUGAGACACGGCCCAG
This 240-nucleotide ribosomal RNA is filed under the name uncultured bacterium. RNAcentral describes it as "partial 16S ribosomal RNA". It matches the Rfam family "Bacterial small subunit ribosomal RNA", at positions 96 to 334 of the family's 1533-position model. The record is from RNAcentral.